AGCAGCCGCGGUAAUUCCAGCUCCAAUAGCGUAUAUUAAAGUUGCUGCAGUUAAAAAGCUCGUAGUUGAAUUUCGGGAUCGAUAUAUCGGUCGUGCCUCGGUACGUACUGGUAUUUUCGGUUUCUCCCUUUUGACGAACCUUGAUGUCAUUAAUUUGGUGUCUUGGGGAAUCAGGACUGUUACUUUGAAAAAAUUUAGAGUGUUUAAAGCAGGCUCACGCUUGAAUACAUUAGCAUGGAAUAAUGAAAUAGGACGUUUGAUUCUAUUUUGUUGGUUUCUAGGAUCGACGUAAUGAUUAAUAGGGAUAGUUGGGGGCGAUUAGUAUUCAAUUGUCAGAGGUGAAAUUCUUGGAUUUAUUGAAGACUAACUACUGCGAAAGCAUUUGCCAAGGAUGUUUUCAUUAAUCAAGAACGAAAGUUAGGGGAUCGAAGACGAUCAGAUACCGUCGUAGUCUUAACCAUAAACUAUGCCGACUAGGGAUCGGAUGAUGUUAAUUUUUUAAUGACUCAUUCGGCGCCUU
Molecule: ribosomal RNA, 520 nt
Filed under: uncultured Glomus
Lineage: Eukaryota; Fungi; Glomeromycota; Glomeromycetes; Glomerales; Glomeraceae
Description: SSU rRNA
Rfam family: Eukaryotic small subunit ribosomal RNA
Source: RNAcentral